Molecule: non-coding RNA, 960 nt
Organism: Arachis ipaensis
Lineage: Eukaryota; Viridiplantae; Streptophyta; Magnoliopsida; Fabales; Fabaceae
Source: RefSeq, a predicted model, not a curated record
GUUAGGUUUUGAAUUUGGUGCUUUGCUUUCAUCGUGUUGUGCUGUGAAUGUCACCCUUCCAGUGAACAAAAUACCAUAUCAUCAAUACACCUAUCAAAUUAUUGUUAGUUAAUACUAUUUUACACCUUAUUUCCAAAAUAAAGGGAUUUAGGGAUCAUAUUUGAAUUGAAGGACCACAGAGACAUAUAAGCUAACAGUUCAAGGAUAUGAUAGAAGCCCAUUAUUCCAUUUUAUAUAUUUUUAAACAAACUGAUCCAGAUAAGUUAGAAAGGCUAUUGCUCCUCCUUCUUCUACUACUGAGGCAAUUGGAGCAUCACGUGUUAUGUGCCCCACACACAUGCAAAUGGAAUACUCAUCUUCAAUUUCAGAAUACAAUCCUUCCAGGAGGUUCUUAUCAUAAGUCACAACAAUUCUCUCUCUCGAUACAAGGAAUGGCUGGUGUUGUUGGAAAGCUUGAGGCAGAAAUUGAGGUGAAGUCAAAAAUAGACAAGUUCUGGAGUGCUAUCAGGAAUUUUGCAACCAUAUUCCCUAAGGCCUCACCAUCUCAAUACAAAAGCAUUUAGAUUAUUCAGGGUGAUGGCAAGGCUCCUGGCUUCUGGCUCCUAGCAAUUGCCUUUGCAAACACAUCUUCUUUCUUUCUUCACAUUUUUAAGGUCCAGCUUUCAGAUAAACGGAUACACAUUGGAGGGAAGCAACCCUCUGCUUUGUCCCUAGCUGUUUUCUGAUUUAUUAAGAAAGAAUAUUUCAAGUUGUUAGACGUGAUCAGGAGUGCUAAAAUGGUGACAACAUACUACCUAAAGGACUCAAGAAUAUUUUGAUUCAUAGAGACAUUAAUCUAUGUUAGACUUUUAACUUUUGGUUGAACUAGUGUAAAAAAUAUAACUUGUAGAACUAAUCAAUGUAGACACUAAUGUUAUUUUAUUUUAAAAUAAUUUGAGUUAAAUGAAGCAUGUUUGAAUU